RNAcentral lists this ribosomal RNA (497 nucleotides) under uncultured bacterium. RNAcentral describes it as "partial 16S ribosomal RNA". It matches the Rfam family "Bacterial small subunit ribosomal RNA", at positions 28 to 507 of the family's 1533-position model. The record is from RNAcentral.
GAUGAACGCUGGCGGCGUGCCUAAUACAUGCAAGUCGAGCGAACAGACGAGGAGCUUGCUCCUCUGACGUUAGCGGCGGACGGGUGAGUAACACGUGGAUAACCUACCUAUAAGACUGGGAUAACUUCGGGAAACCGGAGCUAAUACCGGAUAAUAUAUUGAACCGCAUGGUUCAAUAGUGAAAGACGGUUUUGCUGUCACUUAUAGAUGGAUCCGCGCCGCAUUAGCUAGUUGGUAAGGUAACGGCUUACCAAGGCAACGAUGCGUAGCCGACCUGAGAGGGUGAUCGGCCACACUGGAACUGAGACACGGUCCAGACUCCUACAGGAGGCAGCAGUAGGGAAUCUUCCGCAAUGCGCGAAAGCCUGACGGAGCAACGCCGCGUGAGUGAUGAAGGUCUUCGGAUCGUAAAACUCUGUUAUUAGGGAAGAACAAAUGUGUAAGUAACUAUGCACGUCUUGACGGUACCUAAUCAGAAAGCCACGGCUAACUACGUG